UAGAGUUUGAUCAUGGCUCAGGAUGAACGCUAGCGGCAGGCUUAACACAUGCAAGUCGAGGGGCAGCACUCGUAGCAAUACAUGGUGGCGACCGGCGCAAGGGUGCGUAACGCGUGAGCAACAUGCCCGUAUCAGGGGGAUAAUCCAGGGAAACUUGGUCUAAUACCGCAUAAUAAACUUAGGAGGCAUCUCUUUGAGUUUUAAAAUUUCGAUGGAUACGGAUUGGCUCGCGUGACAUUAGUCAGAUGGUAAGGUAACGGCUUACCAUAACUAUGAUGUCUAGGGGUUCUGGGAGGAAGGUCCCCCACACUGGAACUGAGACACGGUCCAGACUCCUACGGGAGGCAGCAGUGAGGAAUAUUGGACAAUGGAUGGAAAUCUGAUCCAGCCAUGCCGCGUGCAGGAAGACGGUCCUAUGGAUUGUAAACUGCUUUUUUAUGGGAGCAAUAAGGUCUACGUGUAGAUCGAUGAGAGUACCAUAAGAAUAAGCACCGGCUAACUACGUGCCAGCAGCCGCGGUAAUACGUAGGGGGCGAGCGUUGUCCGGAGUUACUGGGCGUAAAGAGCGUGUAGGCGGUUGAAAAAGUCAGGUGUGAAAUUCUUCGGCUCAACCGAGGGACUGCGUCUGAAACUUUUCGACUGGAGUUUGGGAGGGGCAACUGGAAUUCCUGGUGUAACGGUGAAAUGUGUAGAUAUCAGGAGGAACACCCGUGGCGAAGGCGGGUUGCUGGACCAAAACUGACGCUGAGACGCGAAAGCGUGGGUAGCAAACAGGAUUAGAUACCCUGGUAGUCCACGCUGUAAACGAUGAGUGCUAGGUGUAGGGGGUAUCGACUCCUUCUGUGCCGCAGUUAACGCAUUAAGCACUCCGCCUGGGGAGUACGGCCGCAAGGUUAAAACUCAAAGGAAUUGACGGGGGCCCGCACAAGCGGUGGAGUAUGUGGUUUAAUUCGAUGAUACGCGAGAAACCUUACCUGGUCUUGACAUGUAGAGAACCCUUAAGAGAUUAGGGGGUGCCUGCUUGCAGGAGCUCUAACACAGGUGGUGCAUGGUUGUCGUCAGCUCGUGUCGUGAGAUGUUGGGUUAAGUCCCGCAACGAGCGCAACCCUUGUUGCUAGUUACCAGCACGUAAUGGUGGGAACUCUAGCGAGACUGCCGGUGACAAACCGGAGGAAGGUGGGGACGACGUCAAAUCAUCACGCCCCUUACGACCAGGGCCACACACGUACUACAAUGCCCGGUACAGCGAGCUGCGAAGCUGCGAAGCUGAGCUAAUCUCUUAAAACCGGGCCAAGUUCAGAUCGGAGGCUGCAAUUCGCCUCCGUGAAGCUGGAAUCGCUAGUAAACGCAAAUCAGCAUGUUGCGUUGAAUACGUUCUCGGGCCUUGUACACACCGCCCGUCACACCAUGGAAGCCAGUAACACCCGAAGCCGGUGAGCUAACGCAAGAGGCAGCUGUCGAAGGUGGGAUUGGUGACUGGGGUGAAGUCGUAACAAGGUAACCCUAA
RNAcentral lists this ribosomal RNA (1507 nucleotides) under uncultured bacterium. Its description in RNAcentral is "partial 16S ribosomal RNA". It matches the Rfam family "Bacterial small subunit ribosomal RNA". The record is from RNAcentral.